CUUGAACUGUCACAAAAAAAAAAUCAAUUACUUUUCUGAAUAAAAUGCAUGAACUACAAUAAACAAGUAGAAAUUUCAAAUUUUUAUUUUAACUGUGCCCUAUUUUUUUCAUGUUGCGCUGAUGCCUCUAGCGUAUGAGGUUUUGCUGUGUCCUAGAAAAUAUCUAGCAGAUCUCGUAACAUUUUUUUGCGGAUUCCUAUCUUUAUCCCGAUAAGUAGGGUAUUAGCUGAUAAUAACAUGUUAUGCUGAAGUUAAUCAAUUUUUCAAAUAUUUUGUUUUUAUGUUACAUAGUUCACUAUCAAGGUCUUCAUUUUGUAUUAGUGCUGUGUCAGUCGUGUGCUGUGUCAAUCUCGUUUCUACUUUUGCUUGCUAGUGGGAGCUUUCCACUAGAAUUUGUCUAUAAAUGAGUGAUGCUCGUCAUUUGAUAGAAAAUGAUUUAUAGGAACUGUAUGGAAAAAGCCAUUCAGCUUUGCCUUUCCUACCAAACUACUGUAGGCAGCCUCAUGUAUACGUGGAAAACACACCCUGUCCGCAAUGGUGUAGAAUUUCCGAGCAAAAGAAAUCCAUAAACUGUUUGUUUUGUAAAAGAGUGCUAGACUGGAUGAAGAAUGCUUACCGAUAUAACUUGAGCAGGAUCUCCUUUAACGCGGGUGACGCCCUCUCGAAGCAUGCCAUAGUGAGCUCUCUCUGUUUGAUCUUCAAUUCGCAGGUGUCGGUGGAAGGAAGGUGUAGAUAAAUAUAGAGCUCUAUGGUCCAGAAUGGGGUUUGUUCAUAUCAAGUUUGAGUGCAAAUUACGUUCAAGUGUUGCAAUCAUGCUUAGCUACCUUUGAAGCAAGAACCUGCUGCCACUAUUGUACUGAACUGUGCCACUAAGUUUUUGUUUGUAAAGGACGCCAAAAGGAUUACCUCUCAACAUUUCUUACCAGUUCCUGAAAGGAAUGAUUUGCAUUUCUCUCUAAUUUGCAAAUAUAUGCUGGUACACUUUUGUUUCCAUUCUUGUAAUAUUAUGAGUUGAAAUGUAAUCGAAACAAGUGGUUUAGUAUUCAUUAGUUUUGAAUAAAUUAUUAAAAUUGUAAUUUUUUUUGAAUAUAUCAGUUGGAUUAAUCACUUG
Molecule: long non-coding RNA, 1111 nt
Organism: Mercurialis annua (annual mercury)
Lineage: Eukaryota; Viridiplantae; Streptophyta; Magnoliopsida; Malpighiales; Euphorbiaceae
Exons: 2
Source: RefSeq, a predicted model, not a curated record